GAUGAACGCUGGCGGCGUGCCUAAUGCAUGCGAGUCGAGCGAACGGACGAGAAGCUUGCUUCUCUGAUGUUAGCGGCGGACGGGUGAGUAACACGUGGAUAACCUACCUAUAAGACUGGGAUAACUUCGGGAAACCGGAGCUAAUACCGGAUAAUAUUUUGAACCGCAUGGUUCAAAAGUGAAAGACGGUCUUGCUGUCACUUAUAGAUGGAUCCGCGCUGCAUUAGCUAGUUGGUAAGGUAACGGCUUACCAAGGCAACGAUGCAUAGCCGACCUGAGAGGGUGAUCGGCCACACUGGAACUGAGACACGGUCCAGACUCCUACGGGAGGCAGCAGUAGGGAAUCUUCCGCAAUGGGCGAAAGCCUGACGGAGCAACGCCGCGUGAGUGAUGAAGGUCUUCGGAUCGUAAAACUCUGUUAUUAGGGAAGAACAUAUGUGUAAGUAACUGUGCACAUCUUGACGGUACCUAAUCAGAAAGCCACGGCUAACUACGUG
Molecule: ribosomal RNA, 497 nt
Filed under: uncultured bacterium
Lineage: Bacteria
Description: partial 16S ribosomal RNA
Rfam family: Bacterial small subunit ribosomal RNA
Source: RNAcentral